AGUAAUUCUCUGGUCCAGCUGGCAUUACAGUGCAAUGUUCUCACUGAUGCUCAGUUGAAUAGUUAUCUUAAGCUUACAGAGAAUCUGUGUGACACCACAGACUUAACGGGAUGAAAAAAAAAAAGAUGCAGAAUUGCCAGGCUUCAUGGAACUCUGAGCUACAUGCAAAACCUUCAUCCCUCCGUAUCCUGCUGCUGCACAGCCACAGCAGCAAAGCUGGACAGAGUUAGGAAGUCAUGGUUUGAAACCCCAAAUCAGAAACCCAAAGACAAGCAGCUACAAAUUAAGCUCUGCAGAACUGCAGAGGUUUUACAUCUGCACCACCUGCACAUCAGAGACCUGGGCCAGGAGAGCAGCUUGUUUCCUGUGGGCACUUGGUCAGUGACAGCCAGGGGGAAGGACACCUCAACCUCAGCUGGGCAGCAGCUCACUGCACUCAUUUCCCAAGCCCAGGGGCCUUCAUCCCAUUAGCCCAAAGUCUGCUUCCUGGGCUGGGCUGGGCUGGGCUUUGUGGAAGGUGCUGUGGUGAACACAGCAGAGCAGUGAGUGAAACAGAGAAAUGCUGCUUCCUCCAAAAGUACAUGCAUCCACAAUGCUUCCUCGUGGUGUUUCUGUACACAUUUUAAUGCCUGCACUUACCUUUGUCCACAUUCCAAACUGCAAAUGUAAAAUGCACUAUAUUCAGAACACAUGUAUACAGUUUUGCCUCCAUUUCUUCCCUGUAGCACUGGGUAACUUGUGUGCCCCUGCCUCAAGGAAUUGAGUAAGGGAGUGGAGAGGCAUUGGAGCAUAUUUGAAAGACAUCAGUUAGAGUCGUGUACUGGUUUCACUCUGAAUUUCAACAGGAAUGUGGUGUUAGCAUCUAGGUUUAUGACCACUGCCAUUGCCUCAGUCUCUGACAGAAUUUGAUUUCUGCCUAAAGAAAAAGGCCUGAAAUGGUGACCUGCCCCCACACAGAAAAGAUGCCAGCAGAUUCAGUAAUUCUGCUGUAAUUUUAAUUUGCUGUAAUAAUCUACGUUUUGUUCAUUUUUACCUCAAAAUCUGGACAGACAUAUUGCUAUACUCUGCAAGCUGUUUUUCCUGGUUGAUAUAUUUCCACCACGCAGAUCCUUUUGCCUAAAUCUCAGUAAAGAUUCUGCAACAAUUUGUACUUGCUCACUUGCUAUAUCAGCUACAUAUACUAGGUUUAGUGCAGUACCUGCUGCUUGGUCAUUCUCCUUCCAUCUGCCAGAGCCUACGUAAUAUUUAAUUCCUUAAUUUUGAGUAUUCAUCACAAUAUCACUUGGUGGAUUCUUACCUCUUGCUGACAACUGCUUGUUCUUCCAUAGCUUUUACAUAAGAUGUGUAGAUGCAGAAAUCUGCUAUGUCACUUCCAUCUCUGUGUUUCAAGACUGAGACUUCUCUGAUUUACAGCAGCUUUCCUUCAAAAUUUUCUUUGAAAAUCUUUUACCUGAAAAUUGUUUUAAAGGUUACAGGUCAUUUAUUGCUCUGCAGUCAAGAAUUUCUUUCCAGAUGUCAGACACUACUGUGCUUUAAUUAUACAGUCCUCUGAAAGGCCUUCUACUAUGAAAUUUUCUUUGUUGUCUGAAAGUCAUUUUAUUGGCAAAACAUAUGACUAACAAAAGGGAUAUGACUCUAUGCUUACUGUAUUAUGAAUUAUUACACUGUGUACAGCUGAGCUUUAAAAACAAUUUUCAGACAGCUCUGAUUCUGGUGACUAAAGCUUUAAACCGCUUAGGUUUUUUUACUCCUUUAUUAAAGCCAGAGGUGGUGAAUUUCUAAUUUCUGAUCCCAUUUUUUGUCAGGCCAGGCCUGAGCAUCUGUAGGUCAGACAUAUGUCCUGGAACUAUCUGUGCUUUUUUGAGUUCUCUGAUGGAAACUCAUACGAACUGUAAGAAAAUGUUAGAAAAUUGUGACACAUUGUCUAAUUCACAAAUUGAGAUAAAGUGAGAGCAGUUCUUCUCAGCCUGCACGGAGCUUAAAGCUUGACCCCUUCUGCCUUAGCCCUGAAGGAGAAUUUUUUGCCUGAAACAUUGUCUGUCUUUUUAGUUGGUCCAGUGAAAACUCGUUUGUGCCUCAGAACCGUGCCUUGCACGGUGCCUUCGUGAAGCACCCUGUGAAAACAUCCCUGCUGGAGCUCCAUACAGCAGGGACUGUUCCACUGGCAGGGCUCAAGAGUUCUUUAUUCCUGUCAGACACAAACCAUUAUAGAGCAGCAUUCUCCAAGAGACAGAUCUGCUUAUGGGACAUAUAAAUACUGUUUUCCUUCUAUUGAUGUCCAUAGGAACAAGGAUGGAGCUCGCUCCAUGAAUAUGUAAAUAUAUUUUACAAAGUGGGACUGUUCCAGUUGAAGGGGCUGGUGGUCAGGUCGCUGCUGUGAGGCAGAAACCUAACCUGAAUUUGCAGAGGAGAGGAGAAUUCCUCUCAAACACAGGAAUCUAUAUACCUAGCAUCACAUAUCUACAUCUGCACCUCUUUACAGCAAAGAAUUCCUUACUGUUUGACACUGUGCAGGAUAAUUAUUAUCAGUGCACUGCAGUACAUCUGGAAAGAUGAAGGAAUGCUGGCUCAGCAUACCUCAGGCAAAGCACUGCACCUCUUAAAGAAUGAAAGCAUACAUAAAACAGGAGCAUAAGAGCUGCAUCAGUCUUUCAUGCCUGAAAGCCAGGCAUAAUUGCUUUGAAGUGGAAGGAGUUACAGCACUGCAGCUCUCCAACUGCAGAACAGGUAACAACAGGAAUUUAAAUAAAUACUCACCAAUCCUUGCAAAUUCUUUGAUUCCUUAUUCAAAGAUGCUACCCAUCCACUAGAAAAUGUUAUGUGGUAGAGGCAGGCAUUCCUCUGUCCUUUCCUGCCAGGAUUAAAAUGAAACUUGACUGUUAUCUCAAGAAUGAGCCCAAAGACCAGACUUAGAUUCUGGAAAAACUUUUUUCCUCUCAAAGUACCCUUUUAAUAAGUGAC
Long non-coding RNA from Pseudopipra pipra, 2961 nucleotides. RefSeq lists it as uncharacterized. The transcript has 3 exons. Lineage: Eukaryota; Metazoa; Chordata; Aves; Passeriformes; Pipridae. The record is from RefSeq and is a predicted model, not a curated record.